Molecule: ribosomal RNA, 255 nt
Filed under: uncultured bacterium
Lineage: Bacteria
Description: partial 16S ribosomal RNA
Rfam family: Bacterial small subunit ribosomal RNA
Source: RNAcentral
CACGUAGGGGGCGAGCGUUGUCCGGAUUUAUUGGGCGUAAAGAGCUCGUAGGUGGUUCGGUAAGUCGGAUGUGAAAUCUCCAGGCUCAACCUGGAGGGGUCAUUCGAUACUGCCGUGACUAGAGGUCGGUAGGGGAGUGUGGAAUUCCUGGUGGAGCGGUGAAAUGCGCAGAGUAUCAGGAAGAACACCCGUGGCUAAGGCGGCUCUCUAGUACGGUACUGACGCUGAGACGCGAAAGCGUGGGGAGCGAACAGG